AGAGGCGGUCGCACAAGGGCGAGCUGGAGCACUAGUGGAGUUGGCGGGAAAGGCACGGCUGCGGGCGCCCCCUGUCCGCACGGAGGAGCCGAAGUCCCGCAGGGUGGGGUCCCCGCCUGCGCCGAGAGGGCCACCUGGUCGAGAGAACAGGCGACACGGAAACCUGAGAAACUCCUCUGUCUGGUGCACCUAACCCUCUUCCUCAUAAAGUGCACACGAACUCUGGUUUUUCCGUUGCAAAUUUUGCUUUCUACAUAGACCAUACCAUUCGUUGCUCUCUGAGGAUGAGCUCCUGGCUUCCCAGUCCAGCAGAAGUAUCUACAUCUAUUUCUGGAAAGGACCUGAACUUGGCUUCUCGUCCUUCUGGAAAGUGAGGCGAAAAUGCCAGGCUGCGCAGCUAUCCUGAGGCCCGGCCUGGAACCUGGCUAGCCACCCAGUCCUGAUACCUCAUCUCCUUUCUGUUGGAUAAAGUCAUUGGAUAAGAUCCCCCAGGGUCUUCUUAAUACUGAACAUCUGUUCAUAAUCACAUAAGUGACCAAGUAUAGUGGAAAACCCGAAUGGUCAACUGAGCUGAGCAGUGGGAGAGAGCGCAGGGCUUACCUCAUCCUUUAAGUAUUUGAGGAACUGGUGAACAAGUUAACUACUUUGAUAGUAAACGAGGAAAUUUCUUUAUAGAGAAAAGCAAAAUGUGGCCCAGCAGGUAUGUGAAAAAUGGCUGAUGUGACUAGAACUAAGGAAACAAAUGGUUAAGAUAAUAUUAGACAAAAGUAAUGGAAAUUUUUUUUUUUUGGAAAACAGUAUGGAGGGUCCUCAAAAAAU
This 819-nucleotide long non-coding RNA is filed under the name Homo sapiens (human). RNAcentral describes it as "HSALNT0346893". The record is from RNAcentral. Lineage: Eukaryota; Metazoa; Chordata; Mammalia; Primates; Hominidae.